AUUUUAUUUUUAAAUGAUGCUACUUUUUGUUAGUAUCUUUUUUUUCUCUUUCGUUUUUUAAAUUAUGUCGGCUUUGAAUUUCUCCUUGAUGAAAUGUCAAUCAACAUGAACAUCUUAGGUCAUGUUGUGCUAAGACAUGAGAGAUCAUGAGAGAGUUUAGGGUAACCAUAAUUUCUCCUUCAUACGGGAACCAUAAUUUGGUAAUCAGAUAUUCUCAUUUUGAUUGGGCUCAAAUAACGGGCUUAACCCACGGGUUGGCCCAAAUUGAUAUAAGAUUCUUCUUCAACUGAACAUUAAUUCAUCGUCGACUCUCUCGUCUGCAGCUCCCAUGGCUUCCACUUCCCGCAACACUAGCCUGCUAUAGAAAGUGCUGCAACUCUCUCUCUCUCUCUCUCUAUCUCUCUGUGAGAUUUCCACUCUGUCUUUACUGUCUUUCCUGGAGAAUCCAUUGAAGAGUUCCGAUAACACUAAGCUAGCGUUCACACCAAAUAAGCCACUGAGCAAGAGAUUAGAAUCUAGGAAGUUGAAUUGGACGCUUCCAUUCAGGCCCUGGAGGUUUCAGGCUGCUCAGGAGUGCAUGCACCUUGGACUACAAAAUAGAGAUAUGUGCCUUGGACUAUGAAAGUUGCAUAGUCCAAAACUUAAAACCAAUGCCAAAAUUUCAUGUGUGCUUAUUCUGUCCGUCCACUCCUAAGAAAACUCAAACCUAUUACCUCUGCCCCAUUUCACUUCUGUCCCAGGAGCUACCAUUCCCUCCCUUUUAACUACUUUUUUAACUCUUGCUCUUCUUUUUCAGACCUUAAAUGCAUCCAUGCUCUAAUCUUCCAACAUGGAUCCAACCAAAACCUUCUCCUCUCCACAAAGCUUGUUACUUUGGCAUCUUCCAUGGCCCCUACCAUGGACUAUGCACGAAAACUGUUCGACACAAUGCCCAAAAGGGAUGCGUUUCUUUGGAACACUUUGAUCAGGGGUUAUGCUGAUCGGGGUCCUUGCCAUGAAGCCAUAGUUUUGUACAGAAACAUGCAUCACAGUGGGUUGUCCCCUGAUAACUAUACUUUCCCUUUUGUGGUUCGCUCCUGCACAGUGCAGUUGGCUUUGAGGGAAGGGAAAGAGUGCAUUGUAACAUUAUUAAAUAUGGGUUUCAUUCAGAUGUGUUUGUUCAGAGCUCUUUGGUCAGUAUGUAUUCACAAAGUGGUGAAACUUUGAACUCGGAGUUUGUUUUCAGUGACAUGAUUGUGUAGUUUCUUGGACUGCAAUGAUAGCAGGCUAUGUGCAAAAUGGGUUCUAUAAAGAAGGGUUACCUGUUUUGCGAGAUAUGGUGGCUUCAGGGACCCAACCAAAUGUGGUUACGCUGGUCAGCAUCCUCCCUGCUUGUGCUAGUUUAACAUUUUUGGAUUUAGGAAAACUAAUCCAUGGUUGCGGAAUUAAAGUUGGUGUUGACUCAGAUAUGGCACUCAUGAAUGCUUUGAUUGCAUUUUAUGGUAAGUGUGGGAAUCUUGACACGGCAAGAUCUUUAUUCAAAGGGAUGGUAGUAAGAAACCUGGUCUUGUGGAAUGCAAUGAUCGGCGCUUAUGAACAGAACAAUGCAGGGACUGAUGCAAUAAAGCUCUUUUGUAGGAUGCAAACUGAAAAUGUAGAGUAUGACUAUAUCACAAUAGUCAGUGUUAUUUCAGCCUGUGCUAGCUUGGGUGCACUGAACACUGGUAGAUGGUUGCAUGAGCUGGCUCGAAUGAAGGGCUUUCGAACCAAUGCUUCAGUCACAAAUGCACUCAUUGACAUGUAUGCUAAGUGCGGGAAUAUAGACCUAGCCAAGAAUGUAUUUCAGGGAUUGCCUCAUAAAAGUGUUGUGUCAUGGACAUCUAUAAUAGGGGCUUGUGCAUCUCAUGGUCAUGGGGAUGAUGCUCUCAUGCUUUUCUCAAUGAUGAAAGAACAGGGUACUAAACCAAAUAGUUUCACUUUCACUGCUGUUUUGACUGCUUGUAGGCAUGCAGAUCUAGUAGAAGAAGGGAGAAAGCACUUUGAGAGCAUGAUUAAAGACUACUCGAUCUCCCCUGGCAUAGAGCACUAUGCUUGUAUGGUUGAUCUUCUUGGUCGUGCUGGUUGCUUGCUUGAGGCAUAUAAGUUUAUUGAGACGAUGCCGGUUGAGCCAGAUGCAGGUGUGUGGGGAGCUUUACUAAGUGCUUGCAGGAUACAUGGCAAUGUUGAGCUAGCCGAACUUGUGGUAGCCCGCCUAUCCCGUUUAGAUACUCAAACUGUUACAUCCUAUGUUCUUAUGUCAAAUAUAUACGCUGAAGCUAGUAGGUGGGAAGACGAAGCUAGGUUGAGGAACAUGAUGAGAAAAAAGUUGUUGAAAAAGUUACCUGGGCAAAGUUUUGUUGGGGUAAAUUGAAGAUUUUAUGCUUUUCUUUCAGGUUCAAGAUCUCCGGCAUCUUGUCUGACUUAAAUUAAUUGGAUUUUUUUCAUCACUAAAGAUCCCCGUCAUAUUUUUUAUGAAACAAAAUAAAAUUACAAAGAU
Molecule: RNA transcript, 2515 nt
Organism: Prunus persica (peach)
Lineage: Eukaryota; Viridiplantae; Streptophyta; Magnoliopsida; Rosales; Rosaceae
Gene name: pentatricopeptide repeat-containing protein At1g08070, chloroplastic
Exons: 2
Source: RefSeq, a predicted model, not a curated record